This 422-nucleotide ribosomal RNA is filed under the name uncultured bacterium. RNAcentral describes it as "partial 16S ribosomal RNA". It matches the Rfam family "Bacterial small subunit ribosomal RNA", at positions 360 to 774 of the family's 1533-position model. The record is from RNAcentral.
AAUUUUGGCCAAUGGGGGCAACCCUGAUCCAGCCAUCCCGCGUGUGCGCUGAAGGCCUUCGGGUUGUAAAGCACUUGUGGCAGGGAAGAAAAGCCGCGGGCCAAUACCUCGCGGUUCUGCCGGUACCUGCAGAAUAAUCACCGGCUAACUACGUGCCAGCAGCCGCGGUAAUACGUAGGGUGCAAGCGUUAAUCGGAAUUACUGGGCGUAAAGCGUGCGCAGGCGGUUUGGCAAGAAGGAUGUGAAAUCCCGAGGCUUAACCUCGGAACUGCAUUCUUAACUGCCAGGCUAGAGUAUGUCAGAGGGGGGUAGAAUUCCACGUGUAGCAGUGAAAUGCGUAGAGAUGUGGAGGAAUACCGAUGGCGAAGGCAGCCCCCUGGGAUAAUACUGACGCUCAUGCACGAAAGCGUGGGGAGCAAACA